UACGUAGGGGCCGAGCGUUGUCCGGAGUUACUGGGCGUAAAGCGCGCGCAGGCGGCUACUUAAGCCCGGCGUGAAAGCCCCCGGCUCAACCGGGGAGGGUCGUCGGGGACUGGGUGGCUUGAGGACGGCAGGGGCUGGUGGAAUCCCCGGUGUAGUGGUGAAAUGCGUAGAGAUCGGGGGGAACACCCGUGGCGAAGGCGGCCAGCUGGGCCGGUCCUGACGCUGAGGCGCGAAGGCGUGGGGAGCGAACGGG
Molecule: ribosomal RNA, 253 nt
Filed under: uncultured bacterium
Lineage: Bacteria
Description: partial 16S ribosomal RNA
Rfam family: Bacterial small subunit ribosomal RNA
Source: RNAcentral